Molecule: long non-coding RNA, 525 nt
Filed under: Bos taurus (domestic cattle)
Lineage: Eukaryota; Metazoa; Chordata; Mammalia; Artiodactyla; Bovidae
Description: long non-coding RNA NONBTAT017915
Source: RNAcentral
GAAAAAUAGAAUUCAGGAUUGGAAGGGGCUGUCUGCUGCUUGCCCCCCCACUAAGCAUGUACUGAAGCGUGUACGUCAUGUCAGGACAAGACUGGGUCAAAGAAGCAAAGAACAGACUGCAAGGGGUGAGAUGGGGGAGCGCUGACUACAGUCCUAUCAGACCCAUGGGCAAGAGGGCAUUGCCCCCUUGGCUUGGCAGGCCACUAGGGGAAACAGACAAGCCACCAUUUAUCAGCAAACUUGCUAAGUGGAAAAGCCGAGAUUGCCGAGCCACAAUGCGCACUUGUGCUGCCUGGACACUUCGAGAGCCGCUGCGACACCUGGUGGGCUGGGAGGAAAGUUGCAGGCACUGAGCGAUCCAGACCGAGACGGCAGAAAGGACUUUGGCUCGGAGACAGACCUGCAGACCAAGUUAGCCCGGUGCCCUCCCUCGUCGCAGCCCCCAGCCUGCCCAGGCGGGUCUAGUCUUGGUUCUUGCUUUGGGUUACCUCUCACCACAAAGUCGUGCGCCUGUGUUGGCUCUCA